CGUGCACCGGUGGGGUCCCUUGGCCUGGCCUGCACCCUCUUGCAAUCUGGGACUCCUCGGGGGAUGUUGGAGACCCAGUGCAUGGAUUCGGCCCCAUCCCUGCAGGCCAGGCCGAGGGACUCCACCAGUGCACG
Molecule: microRNA precursor, 134 nt
Filed under: Myotis brandtii (Brandt's bat)
Lineage: Eukaryota; Metazoa; Chordata; Mammalia; Chiroptera; Vespertilionidae
Description: mir-9193 microRNA precursor family
Rfam family: mir-9193 microRNA precursor family
Source: Rfam by way of RNAcentral